UACGGGGGGGGCAAGCGUUGUUCGGAAUUACUGGGCGUAAAGGGCUCGUAGGCGGCCAACUAAGUCAGACGUGAAAUCCCUCGGCUUAACCGGGGAACUGCGUCUGAUACUGGAUGGCUCGAGUUUGGGAGAGGGAUGCGGAAUUCCUGGUGUAGCGGUGAAAUGCGCAGAUAUCAGGAGGAACACCAAUGGCGAAGGCAGCUCGCUGGGACGGUACUGACGCUGAGACGCGAAAGCGUGGGGAGCGAACAGG
Molecule: ribosomal RNA, 253 nt
Filed under: uncultured bacterium
Lineage: Bacteria
Description: partial 16S ribosomal RNA
Rfam family: Bacterial small subunit ribosomal RNA
Source: RNAcentral